This is a long non-coding RNA of Sinocyclocheilus grahami, 922 nucleotides long. RefSeq lists it as uncharacterized. Lineage: Eukaryota; Metazoa; Chordata; Actinopteri; Cypriniformes; Cyprinidae. The transcript is spliced from 2 exons. The record is from RefSeq and is a predicted model, not a curated record.
UUACCCCUCGAAAACCUUCUCUGCUCGCACCAAAGAGAUAGUCUCAGCCACUAUGGUUCACUCACAGUCAUAUCGAAUUACACCACACAAAAUAAACAAUUUACAGUCUCUUACCCGAGAUGCUUUUACUGCCACCGGGUUCUUUCUGAUCUCAGCCGAGUCACUCUGGCCCUGAAAGCAGUUUUGGCUCUUCUCUCUCAAUUUUCGAGGUAAGACCAGAGCUUGGUGCUCUGAGAUGAUCACUUCGUCAAAUCCGCUCAGGACCAGAAGAAACCGCCGUGAGAUCCCACUUCUGACACCAAAUUGUUGUGGCAAAAACAAUUACUAACAAAAUAGCAUCACAGAGUAAGAGACAAGGAAUCAAAUUAUAUUUAAGGAAAGAAGUUUAUUUUCCUUAAAGAGGUAUGUUCAUAAUGUUUCAGCAGCUACCCUGAAACACAACAGACCUGAAAUCACAUUGAAAGCAGACAGUCUUAUUAUACUGUUAUCACCCCCACUUCUUACAAGUUUUCCUUCUCUGUAAAUUUCCACUUAAUCUCGUAAACCAAACCUAGCUGUUUUCAGAAAAAACAAUGGUCCUUCUAACCCCCUGGGCUUUUAUUAUCUUCACAUCUGUGAGGUCAACAACCCCUCUGUCUUUCCUGCACUAAAGAGUUCAAAGGCUCUUUCUGACCAUUUGUUUUUACUGUGUGUUUGUGUGCCUUCACACCCGUGAGGCCAAAAGUACUAACCCCUCUGUCUUUCCUGAUUAAAUUACCUCAGCAAAACUUGGAAUGGCCCUCGCCACCGUUUCGCCUUCCAGUUCUUCCUCCUCAGGUCACGAAUUACCACGUAAUCCCCCGGCCUGAUCUUAUGCAGAAACGUCUCAGCAACCUUCCUCUGGGCAGCUUUCACCUGCACAGAAAUGUUGGAUAACAGACAA